Molecule: ribosomal RNA, 433 nt
Filed under: uncultured bacterium
Lineage: Bacteria
Description: partial 16S ribosomal RNA
Rfam family: Bacterial small subunit ribosomal RNA
Source: RNAcentral
AACGAACGCUGGCGGCAUGCCUAACACAUGCAAGUCGAACGAUCCCUUCUGGGAUUGUGGCGAACUUGUGCGUAACGCGUGGGAACCUUCCCUUAGGUUCGGUAUAACUUAGAGCAAUUUGAGCUAAUUCCGGAUAAUUUCUUCUGCCCAAAGAUUUAUCGGCUUUGGAUGGGUCCGCUUUGGAUUAGCUAGUUGGUGGGGUAAAGGCCUACCAAGGCUACGAUCCAUAGCUGGUCUGAGAGGAUGAUCAGCAACACUGGGACUGAGACACGGCCCAGACUCCUACGGAAGGAAGAAGUGGGGAAUAAUGGACGAUGGGCGAAAGACUGAUCCAGCAAGGCCGCGUAAGUGAGGAAGGAGUUAGGGUUGUAAAGCUGUUUUAAACGGGAUGAUAGUGACGGUACCGGGAGAAUAAGCCCCGGCUAACUACGUG